CCUACGGGAGGCAGCAGUGAGGAAUUUUCCGCAAUGGGCGAAAGCCUGACGGAGCAAUACCGCGUGAGGGAUGAAGGAUUUUGGUCUGUAAACCUCUUUUCUCAAGAAAGAAGUUCUGACGGUACUUGAGGAAUAAGCAUCGGCUAACUCCGUGCCAGCAGCCGCGGUAAUACGGGGGAUGCAAGCGUUAUCCGGAAUGAUUGGGCGUAAAGCGCCUGUAGGUUGUUUAUUAAGUCCGUUGUUAAAGCCUAGGGCUUAACCCUAGAAAAGCAAUGGAAACUAGUAGACUAGAGUAUGGCAGGGGUAGAGGGAAUUUCUAGUGUAGCGGUGAAAUGCGUAGAUAUUAGAAAGAACACCGGUGGCGAAAGCGCUCUACUGGACCAUUACUGACACUCAGAGGCGAAAGCUAGGGUAGCAAAAGGGAUUAGAUACCCCUGUAGUCCUAGCCGUAAACGAUGGAUACUAGAUGUUGCGCAUUAUGUACAGUAUCGUAGCUAACGCGUUAAGUAUCCCGCCUGGGGAGUACGCUCGCAAGGGUGAAACUCAAAGGAAUUGACCGGNNGNGANGCAGCGACACGAGGAGAG
This 585-nucleotide ribosomal RNA is filed under the name uncultured bacterium. Its description in RNAcentral is "bacterial SSU rRNA". It matches the Rfam family "Bacterial small subunit ribosomal RNA", at positions 338 to 943 of the family's 1533-position model. The record is from RNAcentral.